This 549-nucleotide long non-coding RNA is filed under the name Phascolarctos cinereus (koala). Its description in RNAcentral is "lncRNA (ENSPCIG00000014739.2)". The record is from RNAcentral. Lineage: Eukaryota; Metazoa; Chordata; Mammalia; Diprotodontia; Phascolarctidae.
UGCUUUUAUCUCAGACUUAUUUCCCCUUAUCUUCUGUCUCCCACCUAGAAUCCCUCCUUGCAAUGAGGAACAACAUUUAAACAAAGCCAGAAAAAACAGAAUUCUAUCUAACAGCCUAAGCAUAGUCCUCUCCUGAGAGGAGGGGUGUGGAUUUCAUUAUCAAUUCUAAAGACAAACCUUGGCUUUGAGGACUAAACCAACCAGCCUGAAACCUCUUCAAGAAGACAGGAAUACUCAGAAGAUGCAGAAUCUUUGGAAAAGAAAAAUAAAAGUCAUCUAUGAUGAUUCUGAUGGUACAGAAAGGGCAUGAAAAGAUGAAGAAAAGUACUCCACAGGAUAUGUUCCAGUGCCCACUGGGAGACCUCCAAUGCGCAGGAGGCUGGUGGCAGCUGAGUCAAACUAUCUUCUUCCAAAGUGAAUGGGUUUUAGGCCCCGGCCAUGAAUCUGGAGAAAGGGAAGGAAUAGAAACAGAACCUCUUUCAUGGCUGAGUGAUUAAGAAAAGAUACCCACCAUGGGCUAAAUGUUAGGCUAGAUGGGAUGAUACAAAC